CUUCGUUUACCCCGACACCGUUUGGUUUUCUGCGUUUCAGCCUCUGUUUUUUCACCUCUCCCUGGUUGCCAAAACGACGCCGUUCAUUGUUCUCAGGGUUCUCUUGUCUUCUUCCCUACGAUCACCGGCCUUCAAUUUCUCGACUUCCUCCAUUCUUCCGGAAAAUGAAGCUCUUUUCGAUCUCCACUAGCCAGUGUUGGGGGUCUUGAAAGGGGUUGCAGCCCAUUAGUAAGGUAUAACUGAAUCUAAAUUAAAAUUAACCUGAUUCUCAAUUUUGUUGGAGAAUUUUGAAUUUAGCUUAUUUCUAUUGCACUUCUCCCUGCAGGUUUGCUCCAAAAGAACGAUUCUAUAAAAUGACGGGGAUUUCACUUCCUAAGAAUAUGUCCAUAAAUGCUUCAGGUACAAACCCUAAUAAAAUAAACAACUAUAAAGGUAUAAAUGCGAAGUACUAAUUCUAUGCAAUCAUGUGAUUGAGUUCUUGGAAGAUUCAGAUGUUAAUUUGAUGGAAGUAGGAAAAUAAAUUUGUGCAUGGAAAUAAUUUAGACACAAGUUUUAACAUUCAUUUUCACAUCUACCUUGGGUGGAGGAACAAGUGCUUUCAACCCUAAAACAUGGCUGGAUUGAAGGGAAGAUUAAAAAGAUAUGUAGUUGAAUCUUCCCGUGAAAUUAGUGCUUUGCAUAAUGAUAAUGCAUAAUGCUUGUCUCAAUCAUGAGUUAGUUUCUUUUGGGAAAUUAGGGUAGUGGAUCCGCAAUAAUGCCUUCCUCAACUGAGUUUCCUUGUUUGUGUUAUGUUAAUGAGCUGAAUUUUAGCUACAUAGAACCCUAACUAGCACCAAAUCAUUAUGUCAAAUCUUCUUCCUCUUAUUCUAAUAACAAAGUUAGGAAUUAGUAUGAAGUCAGUAGUUCAAAGCAGGAAAACAAUAUGCCAAGCCUUUUUCUUCUUAUUCUAGUAGCAAAACAGCAAUAUAGAUGAAACCGGGACUCCCAAGACACUAACUUGGUUAGGCGCAGGGUAGUACAAGCUCCUUUGAGAAGAGGGUAUGGACAUAGCUUUUAGCAACGGUAAGUAGAAAAAAUUCUUACUAGAUUACACUUUUUUCGCCAAAAAGGAACAAAAGAACUCUCAUCUGAAAUCUACACAGAUUUUGAAGGUGUGAGAUGCUAACAUAACUAUGUUUCUUUUACCGUAACUUUAUUUGAUUAGUUCUUUAACCAUAACUGUAUUCUUUUUGUCAUUGUGAUGUUGAGUUUCUUUUGGAACUCAUGGUUGAGCCUUCCACAGUGAGGAGAUGUCGGCCACGGCUUCUCCAACUGCCAGGUAGAGUCCAUUCAACCCAAAGGAAUCCAAUAUUUUUGACUGAUGUAGCUUUUCCAUCACAUUUCCAGCGGGAUUUGCCAACACAAACUACACGAGGAAGUGGAAAUAAGGGCUGGUGUUAGAAAGUGGGCAUUUACUAGAAAAAACUAUGCAUAAUUGAUUAGAUGUUUCUUCUUACCUGAAGUGAUCUUUUCUCCAGCAUCUUUCGGAGUUCACAUAUCACGUCAAUACCACUUGUGUCUAUUGCUGUCACAGCUGCAAGAAUGGAAAAUCAUAAGCCAAAGGUACAGGGAUAGCUGAAUUUGUUAUUUCAUUUAGAAACUUGAUUUAAAAGUUAAAAGUGCAUUGAUUGGAUGGCUUAAACCACCCAAAACCACUUAGGAAGUUGGUUUUUGAAACUGAAAUAAACCCAAACCCAACAAUAAUUGAGAAAUGGAUACACAUCUCUACAUCAGUACAGGAGACUCCACAUUGUGGAACAGCUAAGAAAAAGACCACCACUAUGUAAUCUUCUUGUGGGUGAAGUUCCCCUCUUAUCUGAGGUGGAUUAUUCUCUACAAACCCUAACCAACCUAUUGCCAUUCCUACCAUACAGAAUUGGAGAAAUCUCAUUUUCCCACAGAACAAACAAAUAUAUAAGCCAUCCCAAACUCAACUAGUUCUGAAUUUGCUUUAUGGAAAUAACUUGACACUUUUCAGGCAAUUGAGUGCAGCAUGAUCAUGUGCUUAUAAGCAGAGAACUGUUGAAAAUUUAGCAAAAGGUUCGUAUAUACCUGUCAUGUCUAAAAUUACACAUUUCAGCGCAUUCCCAUUGUUUGCUUGUAUCUGCUCUUCUUCCUCACGGACCCAUCUUAGUAUCCUGGAAUAGGAGAAUUCUUCAGUCAGAUAAACUUGACACAAGAAGGUGAUGGUGGUAUCUCUACUAUACUCUGAUAUUAUUUUCCUGAAUUUAUGGUGACAUACACAGCUGCUGUCUAGGGACACGAUCAUCUACAAGUCCUACUUGGAGGUAAAUCAGGCACACUAGAUUGGUGAUAACAGCCUCAAAUGAUGGUAGGGCCAUUAGGGUAUGCUAUUAGUAUAUAUUCAGGAGAUACCAUAUUGAACUAACCUUUCUUGUAUGUAAGUGGAAUUUGCAAAGUAGAUGGGAGACUCCACAGCAAGUAUAAGAAAUGAAGGAACCUUCAUUGCUUCUCUGUAUCGGCUGGGAUUUUGAUAUAUUUGAGUUCCUGGGAUAUUCCCUAAUACCAUAGUGUUUGGCCUCGUGACAUGCAAGAGAACCUUGAAUACUGAUACUCCAACCUAAAUUAUACAGCUAAGUCAUCAGAUAGAGACCAAAUAAUAGAAUCAUGUAUUUGUAAAAGCCAUAGAAAUAUCAGCAUUAGUAGCAUAUUUCUGAAUUACACUUGAAUUCAUAUAAAUGAUAGGCAAGAACAUGAAUAUUCAGAAGACCAAAGCAAAAAUGCAGAACUUAUUUAUUUUUGUUCUCAGAGAAGCAAGCAAUUAGAAGGUUAAGUCUGAGAUGGG
Molecule: long non-coding RNA, 2845 nt
Filed under: Vitis vinifera (wine grape)
Lineage: Eukaryota; Viridiplantae; Streptophyta; Magnoliopsida; Vitales; Vitaceae
Description: long non-coding RNA (VVIN_LNC002768)
Source: RNAcentral